GGCUCAGGAUGAACGCUGGCGGCGUGCCUAACCCAUGUAAGUCGAACGAACCAAUUAGCAAUAGUUGGUGAGUGGCGGAAGGGUGAGUAACACGUAGGAGACUUGCCUCAUCGCAGGGGACAACAGUCCGAAAGGAUUGCUAAUACCCAAAAGGAUCGACAAUUCAUUUUGUCGAUCAGAGUCGAAAGGCGUGGUGAGAGAGUCCUGCGGCCCAUCAGCUAGUUGGUAGGGUAGUGGCCUACCAAUGCAACGACGGGUAGGGGGUCUGAGAGGAUGGUCCCCCACACUGGAACUGAAACACGGUCCAGACGCCUACGGGUGGCAGCAGGGAGGAAUAUUGCACAAUGGGCGAAAGCCCGAUGCAGCAACGCCGCGUGGAGGAUGAAGGCCUUCGGGUCGUAAACUCCUUUUAAGGGAGACGAGAAAGGACGGUAUCCCUUGAAUAAGCCACGGCUAACUACGUGCCAGCAGCCGCGGUAAAACGUAGGUGGCGAGCGUUAUCCGGAUUCAUUGGGCGUAAAGAGCUUGUAGGUGGCUUCGUAAGUUGGACGUGAAAUCUCCGGGCCUAACUCGGAGACGCCGUUCAAUACUGCGGGGCUUGAGGAUGUCAGAGGGAAGUGGAAUUCCUGGUGUAGCAGUGAAAUGCGUAGAUAUCAGGAGGAACACCCGUGGCGAAGGCGGCUUCCUGGGGCAUUCCUGACACUGAGAAGCGAAAGCUAGGGGAGCAAACGGGAUUAGAAACCCCGGUAGUCCUAGCUGUAAACGAUGGAUGCUAGGUGUUGGCAGAUCUAACCCUGCCUGUGCCGAAGCUAACGCGUUAAGCAUCCCGCCUGGGAACUACGAGCGCAAGCUUUAAACUCAAAU
This 864-nucleotide ribosomal RNA is filed under the name uncultured bacterium. Its description in RNAcentral is "bacterial SSU rRNA". It matches the Rfam family "Bacterial small subunit ribosomal RNA", at positions 21 to 906 of the family's 1533-position model. The record is from RNAcentral.